Long non-coding RNA from Copidosoma floridanum, 477 nucleotides. The record is from RefSeq and is a predicted model, not a curated record. NCBI's taxonomy places the organism in Eukaryota, Metazoa, Arthropoda, Insecta, Hymenoptera, Encyrtidae.
AGCUAAUGGCAUUAAGCGUAGCAAGAGCGGAUAAUUGUUUAUUUUAUUUAAACAAACAGCUAUGGCUGCCUAAAUGACUUUUAAAGCCAAUAAAACAGAAAAAAAGACGCUUAUUGUUUCCUUGAUAUGUAAAUGAUGCAUCGGUGCUUUAGAAUAACCAGAAACCUAAUUUCGACUUUUUUAUGGUCAACGACUCGAUAAACAAAGUAUCCCAGUACAACAAGUCAUCAUCGUCUAAUUGAAGAUAAGUGAAAUUUUCGAAGCGACACGUGUCAAUAAUAGAUAAGUGGUUCAGUCACUCAACCUUGGUGUAAAAAAAAAUUCCAAUUAUUUCACAUGUCAGCGCAUCCUUUUGGUGCUCGAUGGCGAGUUUCUCUGCUUUUGUAUUUUUAAACGGAAUGGGGUGUGAUGCAACAGUUAUGGUGCGGUCGGUUGUUCUCAGAUGACUCGAUCAGCAAAUGGUAAAUACUGUUGCAG